Non-coding RNA from Pelobates cultripes (western spadefoot toad), 278 nucleotides. The record is from the annotation of a GenBank genome assembly. NCBI's taxonomy places the organism in Eukaryota, Metazoa, Chordata, Amphibia, Anura, Pelobatidae.
CUUCCCACCUGAAAUAUUCCGUAAAAAUACUUCCCCAUAGUAUGCCGCUGGAUAGAAUUUCUCUAGGGUCACUCAUUCUUUAGAACCUGCUAACUCCCAUAGCCAAAAUCUUUGAUGACUCAACCUUAUAGUCCCACCCAGUCUGUAAUCCUCAGCAUCCCUGUCCCAUUGCCAUCUUUAAUGGGAUCCCUACAGGCCUAAAUAAGCCUCACAAGCUAUGAUUUCAGACCCUUUCUUUAAAUCUAGGUUAUGCCAUCUCCUCUCCCACACCCCCCAAC